RNAcentral lists this long non-coding RNA (773 nucleotides) under Callithrix jacchus (white-tufted-ear marmoset). Its description in RNAcentral is "lncRNA (ENSCJAG00000063368.2)". The record is from RNAcentral. Lineage: Eukaryota; Metazoa; Chordata; Mammalia; Primates; Cebidae.
GCUUCUUCAGAGUUGAGUAAGAUUAAAAAAGCCCGACAUCUCCAAUAUUCCUCAGCAACGGUUUAUGUACCUGCAUAGACAGAUGAAAAAAGGGCUUGAGGAUGUAUUUAAAAACAUGCAUGUAUAUGAUGGAUGGUUAGAGAGAGAGCAUGCAAGAAUAUGAUACAGAUUAAUGGCUCUCUGUAUUUUUGGAGUCUUUUUGUUUCAGGCCCAUAGUUCUGGUGCAUUGGAAGGGUUCUGGAAUUUUAGAACACAAAGUAGCAGUUUUAAAUAAUGAGAGAAGAUUCCACAUGGAACGCUCAUCUGGCUGUGGCAGCCUGUGACUGAAUGAGAGAAAAGUGCCCUAGAAGCUAUUCAUUACGAAUUCACUGGAAGCUCUCAAACGAGGCUGGCAGAAGCUGAAAUUGAAGUGGUCUCUGACCUAAUUUUCUUCUGCAUGAAACAUCUGCAUCAAGGCUCUCUUUGAUGUAUUCCACUUGGCUCUGUCUAUAGGAUUGUAUCACAUGGACUCGGUGUUGCCUCCUUAUUGAAAGACAUUUCCAGCCUUUGCAAGUGCUUUCUAAUCAAAGCAAUCAGAUAUGAAGCAUUUGGGGGCAGUAGACUCUCUGAGGUCAGUGGUGAUCCAGUUCUCCAACAAGAAGAAAAUAUGGGUGCACAUUGACCUACUUGUUAUGAACCUUCACAGAAGACCCAGGGAAGGCGUUAGAGUUGGGGCCACAAGAUUCAUCUCACUGCUAAUUCAUAUUCAGCUUCUUCCCCAACAUAAUUUCUAA